RNAcentral lists this ribosomal RNA (499 nucleotides) under uncultured bacterium. RNAcentral describes it as "partial 16S ribosomal RNA". It matches the Rfam family "Bacterial small subunit ribosomal RNA", at positions 28 to 507 of the family's 1533-position model. The record is from RNAcentral.
GACGAACGCUGGCGGCGUGCCUAAUACAUGCAGGUCGAGCGAAGUUUUUCUGGUGCUUGCACUAGAAAAACUUAGCGGCGAACGGGUGAGUAACACGUAAAGAACCUGCCUCAUAGACUGGGACAACUAUUGGAAACGAUAGCUAAUACCGGAUAACAGUAUUUCUCGCAUGAGAGAUAUUUAAAAGUUGGUUAUGCUAACACUAUGAGAUGGCUUUGCGGUGCAUUAGCUAGUUGGUGGGGUAAAGGCCCACCAAGGCGACGAUGCAUAGCCGACCUGAGAGGGUGAUCGGCCACACUGGGACUGAGACACGGCCCAGACUCCUGCGGGAGGCAGCAGUAGGGAAUCUUCCGCAAUGGGCGAAAGCCUGACGGAGCAACGCCGCGUGAGUGAAGAAGGAUUUCGGUUCGUAAAGCUCUGUUGUUAGGGAAGAAUGGAUAUGUAGUAACUAUACAUGUAAGAGACGGUACCUAACCAGAAAGCCACGGCUAACUACGUG